AGUGAACGCUGGCGGUAGGCCUAACACAUGCAAGUCGAACGGCAGCACAGUAAGAGCUUGCUCUUACGGGUGGCGAGUGGCGGACGGGUGAGGAAUACAUCGGAAUCUACUUUUUCGUGGGGGAUAACGUAGGGAGACUUACGCUAAUACCGCAUACGACCUACGGGUGAAAGCAGGGGAUCUUCGGACCUUGCGCGAUUGAAUGAGCCGAUGUCGGAUUAGCUAGUUGGGGGGGUAAAGGCCCACCAAGGCGACGAUCCGUAGCUGGUCUGAGAGGAUGAUCAGCCACACUGGAACUGAGACACGGUCCAGACUCCUACGGGAGGCAGCAGUGGGGAAUAUUGGACAAUGGGCGCAAGCCUGAUCCAGCCAUACCGCGUGGGUGAAGAAGGCCUUCGGGUUGUAAAGCCCUUUUGUUGGGAAAGAAAAGCAGCAGGUUAAUACCCCGCUGUUCUGACGGUACCCAAAGAAUAAGCACCGGCUAACUUCGUG
This 492-nucleotide ribosomal RNA is filed under the name uncultured bacterium. RNAcentral's name for it is "partial 16S ribosomal RNA". It matches the Rfam family "Bacterial small subunit ribosomal RNA", at positions 29 to 507 of the family's 1533-position model. The record is from RNAcentral.